This 516-nucleotide ribosomal RNA is filed under the name uncultured bacterium. RNAcentral's name for it is "bacterial SSU rRNA". It matches the Rfam family "Bacterial small subunit ribosomal RNA", at positions 19 to 518 of the family's 1533-position model. The record is from RNAcentral.
CUGGCUCAGAACGAACGCUGGUAGCGUGGAUUAGGCAUGCAAGUCGAACGGGAUCCGGAAGGCAGCAAUGUCGGCCGGUGAGAGUGGCGGAAGGGCGAGGAACACGUGGGCAACCUGUCUUGAAGGUGGGGAAAACCUCGGGAAACUGAGGCUAAUACCGAAUGUGGCGCGGGAGGGCAUCCUUCCAGCGCCAAAGGGGGCGAAAGCUCCCCCUCUUUGAGGGGCUCGCGCACCAUCAGCUUGUUGGCGGGUAACGCCACCAAGGCUUACGGUUAGCUGGUCUGAGAGGAUGGCCAGCCGCACUGGGACUGAGAUACUGCCCAGACUCCUACGGGAGGCUGCAGUCGAGGAUCAUUCGCAAUGGGCGAAAGCCUGACGAUGCGACGCUGCCGUGGAGGAUGAAGGCCCUCGGGUCGUAAACUCCUGUCAUGAGGGAAAAGGAGACCUUACCUAAUACGUAGGGAAUUUGAUGGUACCUCAAGAGGAAGGGACGGCUAACUCUGUGCCAGCCGCCGC